This 483-nucleotide ribosomal RNA is filed under the name uncultured bacterium. RNAcentral's name for it is "bacterial SSU rRNA". It matches the Rfam family "Bacterial small subunit ribosomal RNA", at positions 29 to 507 of the family's 1533-position model. The record is from RNAcentral.
AUUGAACGCUAGCGGCAUGCCUUACACAUGCAAGUCGAACGGCAGCACGGGGGCAACCCUGGUGGCGAGUGGCGAACGGGUGAGUAAUGCAUCGGAACGUGCCAUCGAUGGGGGAUAACUGCGCGAAAGCGUUGCUAAUACCGCAUACGACCUACGGGUGAAAGCAGGGGACCGCAAGGCCUUGCGUCGAUGGAGCGGCCGAUGCCGGAUUAGCUAGUUGGUGAGGUAAAGGCUCACCAAGGCGACGAUCCGUAGCUGGUCUGAGAGGACGACCAGCCACACUGGGACUGAGACACGGCCCAGACUCCUACGGGAGGCAGCAGUGGGGAAUCUUGGACAAUGGGCGAAAGCCUGAUCCAGCAAUGCCGCGUGUGGGAAGAAGGCCUUCGGGUUGUAAACCACUUUUGGCGGGAAAGAAAUGGUCUGUGCUAAUACCACGGAUUGAUGACGGUACCCGCAGAAUAAGCACCGGCUAACUACGUG